Molecule: transfer-messenger RNA, 295 nt
Filed under: Pseudomonadaceae
Lineage: Bacteria; Pseudomonadati; Pseudomonadota; Gammaproteobacteria; Pseudomonadales
Also listed under: 1 other name
Description: Pseudomonas_E sp002840155 Standard tmRNA
Rfam family: transfer-messenger RNA
About the family: Bacterial tmRNA, also known as 10Sa RNA or SsrA, is named for its dual tRNA and mRNA-like properties. Its role is to liberate the mRNA from a stalled ribosome. To accomplish this part of the tmRNA is used as a reading frame that ends in a translation stop signal.
Source: RNAcentral
GGGGCCGAUUAGGAUUCGACGCCGGUAGCGAAGCUCUAGGUGCAUGCCGACUUGGUAACAGAAGUCGUAAAUCCACUGUUGCAACUUUCUAUAGUUGCCAAUGACGAAAACUACGAGGGCUACGCUCUCGCUGCGUAAGCGGCGCGACUAGUCCUUCUGGUAGCUUCGGCUCCAACUCGUCCAAAGCACCCUGCCCGUCGGGCGGCUGCGGAUUAACUCAAUAGACACGGCUAAGCAUGUAGUACCGAAAGUGGAGAACUGGCGGACGGGGGUUCAAAUCCCCCCGGCUCCACCA